Molecule: ribosomal RNA, 369 nt
Filed under: Polyschismium peyerimhoffii
Lineage: Eukaryota; Evosea; Eumycetozoa; Physariida; Didymiaceae
Description: partial small subunit ribosomal RNA
Rfam family: Bacterial small subunit ribosomal RNA
Source: RNAcentral
AAAGACUGAGGAUGACCCUCUUUAAUCUGUAUUUACCGACUAUCUGAGUUUUAGGGGCGAUAUAUUGAAUUCCUUAAGUAAGGGUUAAAUUGUUGAUAUUGGAAGACAUUCGAAGGCGGAAGCGAUACUCGACCUAGAUCUGACGCUAGGUACUAAAGUAUGGGUAUGAAAAGGAUUAGAGACCUUGUAGUCCAUACCUUAAACAAUGAGUGUUCAACGUCCUUAAGUACUUCGGUGACUUUUGUAGUUUUUACUCAAGAGAUUCGCUGAAUGGAGCUCAAGGGGGUUUAAAGCUAACGCGUGAAACACCGCCUGGGGAAUGUGGCCGCAAGGUUAAACUCAAAGGAAUUGACGGAGGCUUGUACAAGG